RNAcentral lists this ribosomal RNA (535 nucleotides) under uncultured bacterium. RNAcentral describes it as "bacterial SSU rRNA". It matches the Rfam family "Bacterial small subunit ribosomal RNA", at positions 27 to 556 of the family's 1533-position model. The record is from RNAcentral.
GAUUGAACGCUGGCGGCAGGCUUAACACAUGCAAGUCGAGCGGAGAUGAGGUGCUUGCACCUUAUCUUAGCGGCGGACGGGUGAGUAAUGCUUAGGAAUCUGCCUAUUAGUGGGGGACAACAUUCCGAAAGGAAUGCUAAUACCGCAUACGUCCUACGGGAGAAAGCAGGGGAUCUUCGGACCUUGCGCUAAUAGAUGAGCCUAAGUCGGAUUAGCUAGUUGGUGGGGUAAAGGCCUACCAAGGCGACGAUCUGUAGCGGGUCUGAGAGGAUGAUCCGCCACACUGGGACUGAGACACGGCCCAGACUCCUACGGGAGGCAGUAGUGGGGAAUAUUGGACAAUGGGGGAAACCCUGAUCCAGCCAUGCCGCGUGUGUGAAGAAGGCCUUAUGGUUGUAAAGCACUUUAAGCGAGGAGGAGGCUACUGAGACUAAUACUCUUGGAUAGUGGACGUUACUCGCAGAAUAAGCACCGGCUAACUCUGUGCCAGCAGCCGCGGUAAUACAGAGGGUGCGAGCGUUAAUCGGAUUUACUG